RNAcentral lists this transfer RNA (72 nucleotides) under Diabrotica virgifera virgifera (western corn rootworm). It matches the Rfam family "tRNA". From Rfam's summary of the family: Transfer RNA (tRNA) molecules are approximately 80 nucleotides in length. Their secondary structure includes four short double-helical elements and three loops (D, anti-codon, and T loops). Lineage: Eukaryota; Metazoa; Arthropoda; Insecta; Coleoptera; Chrysomelidae. The record is from Rfam by way of RNAcentral.
UUGAUGGUGGCUCAGUGGUAGAGCAUUAGACUGCAGAUCGAGAGGUCCCGAGUUCGAAACUCGGCUGUUGCG